UCUGCAUCCUGGCAGCACCCAGCGUGACGUUGCUACGGGGUCCAUGUGAGUCACCUCCGCGCUAGCUGCGGUGCGGGGGGAGCGGGAGCUGCGGGCUGUGAAGCCAAGGGGCCGGAAACCACCACGAGACGGAAGGAUGCACAAGCCCCCGCCUUCGUGGGACGCUGGAGCUCCGUCAUCUCACAGAGAGCUUCCUGCCUGCAGCCCGUUCCCAAGCUCCCAAGCAGUGCCGGGAAGAGAUGGGGGUGUUCAGCGAAACCCCUCCCUGCUUGCUCCUCCACAGUAAUGAAAUGCAAGAAGAGGUUUUUCCACUGAAGGAUAAGAAAUCUGCAGCAAUUGGAAAGAGGACGGAGAUAUCUCAGCCGGACUGUGACCCUGAGCCGUGCCGUGGGGGUGCUUACAGCUAGGUGAGCAUCCCUUUGCACCUCGGUGAGCGGGCAUCUGCGUCAGGCAACGUGGUUCAGGAUCCGCACGGCCCCGUCAUGCUCAAUUGACCGUGUCCAUCUGCGACAUCUCCUGAAUUCAGGCCCAGUAAAGAUCAAGAAUUUCACGACCUGGUGGAGAGCACAAACAAUACUGGACCAGGCAUUCGUAAUAUUUGGUGCCUGGUUUGUAUAGCUACUGCAGCUAAUAUCCCCAAAUAAAUACUUCCGUGACUAAUCCCUUGGAAAGAAAAACACAAAGAAAGAGGCUGUCACAUGAAACAAGAUGAUUUUGAUGUUUGUUUUGUAUUUAUAAACACAAAUUCUGUCUCUUGGGCUGUGUAAUAUACUUCAUCUAAAACCCUGUCAGUCUCUCGAUAGGUAAAUACGUGUUUGCUCUUUGUCCUCGUUCCAUCCCUCCCCAAAAGCCAACAAAGAAGUCCUUAUCCUCGU
Long non-coding RNA from Chroicocephalus ridibundus (black-headed gull), 875 nucleotides. RefSeq lists it as uncharacterized. NCBI's taxonomy places the organism in Eukaryota, Metazoa, Chordata, Aves, Charadriiformes, Laridae. The record is from RefSeq and is a predicted model, not a curated record. The transcript has 3 exons.